UACGGAGGGGGCCAGCGUUGUUCGGAAUUACUGGGCGUAAAGGGCGCGUAGGCGGCCACCGCAAGUCAAUUGUGAAAUCUCCGGGCUUAACUCGGAAAGGUCAACUGAUACUGCGGGGCUAGAGUGCGGAAGGGGCAACUGGAAUUCUCGGUGUAGCGGUGAAAUGCGUAGAUAUCGAGAGGAACACCUGCGGCGAAGGCGGGUUGCUGGGCUGAUACUGACGCUGAGGCGCGAAAGCCAGGGGAGCGAACGGG
RNAcentral lists this ribosomal RNA (254 nucleotides) under uncultured bacterium. RNAcentral's name for it is "partial 16S ribosomal RNA". It matches the Rfam family "Bacterial small subunit ribosomal RNA", at positions 524 to 776 of the family's 1533-position model. The record is from RNAcentral.